AGGACAAUAUCGGACACCCAA
Molecule: unclassified non-coding RNA, 21 nt
Filed under: Mus musculus (house mouse)
Lineage: Eukaryota; Metazoa; Chordata; Mammalia; Rodentia; Muridae
Description: oocyte_clustered_small_RNA7377
Source: RNAcentral